RNAcentral lists this ribosomal RNA (253 nucleotides) under uncultured bacterium. RNAcentral describes it as "partial 16S ribosomal RNA". It matches the Rfam family "Bacterial small subunit ribosomal RNA", at positions 524 to 776 of the family's 1533-position model. The record is from RNAcentral.
UACGAAGGGUGCUAGCGUUGUUCGGAAUUACUGGGCGUAAAGCGCACGUAGGCGGAUCGAUCAGUCAGGGGUGAAAUCCCAGGGCUCAACCCUGGAACUGCCUUUGAUACUGUCGAUCUGGAGUAUGGAAGAGGUGAGUGGAAUUCCGAGUGUAGAGGUGAAAUUCGUAGAUAUCGAGAGGAACACCGGUGGCGAAGGCGGCCAACUGGACGAAGACUGACGCUGAGACACGAAAGCGUGGGGAGCAAACAGG